RNAcentral lists this ribosomal RNA (253 nucleotides) under uncultured bacterium. RNAcentral describes it as "partial 16S ribosomal RNA". It matches the Rfam family "Bacterial small subunit ribosomal RNA", at positions 524 to 776 of the family's 1533-position model. The record is from RNAcentral.
UACGUAGGGCGCAAGCGUUGUCCGGAAUUAUUGGGCGUAAAGAGCUCGUAGGCGGCCUGUUGCGUCCGCUGUGAAAACCCGGGGCUUAACCCCGGGCUUGCAGUGGAUACGGGCAGGCUGGAGGCAGGCAGGGGAGAACGGAAUUCCCGGUGUAGCGGUGAAAUGCGCAGAUAUCGGGAGGAACACCGGUGGCGAAGGCGGCGACCUGGGUAGAUACUGACGCUGAGGUGCGAAAGCGUGGGGAGCAAACAGG